AGUGAACGCUGGCGGCGUGCCUAACGCAUGCAGUUCUCACGAUGAUGUAUUAUCUUGCUCUUCCUGAUAGUGGCGCACGUGUGAGUAACUCAUAUGUAAUGUGCCCCUUCGUCUGGGCUCGCCACUGGAAACUUUUCUUAAUACUAGAUACUCCUUCUCCUUAUAAGAUGAGUCUGUCAUGUUUUUCGCUAAGGGAUCAGCCUAUGUCCUAUCAGGUAGUUGGUGAGGUAACUGCUCACCAAGCCAAUGACGGGUAUCUGGUUUGAGAGAUGAUCAGACACACUGGAACUGAGACACGGUCCAGACUCCUACGGGAGGCAGCAGUGAGGAAUAUUGCACAAUGGAGGAAACUCUGAUGCAGCAACGCCGCGUGGAGGAUGACGCAUUUCGGUGUGUGAACUCCUUUUAAGAGGGAAGAUUAUGACGGUACCUCUUGAAUAAGCACCGGCUAACUCCGUGCCAGCAGCAGCCGCAG
Molecule: ribosomal RNA, 475 nt
Filed under: uncultured bacterium
Lineage: Bacteria
Description: partial 16S ribosomal RNA
Rfam family: Bacterial small subunit ribosomal RNA
Source: RNAcentral